CAUUUGUGAAUUCCACAUUUCCCCUUGGGAGCGAGGCGUAUGU
Molecule: non-coding RNA, 43 nt
Filed under: Palpitomonas bilix
Lineage: Eukaryota
Source: RNAcentral